This 249-nucleotide ribosomal RNA is filed under the name uncultured bacterium. RNAcentral describes it as "partial small subunit ribosomal RNA". It matches the Rfam family "Bacterial small subunit ribosomal RNA", at positions 26 to 288 of the family's 1533-position model. The record is from RNAcentral.
AGGACGAACGCUGGCGGCGUGCUUAACACAUGCAAGUCGAACGAGGUGCUUGCACCUAGUGGCGAACGGGUGAGUAACACGUGAGCAACCUGCCCUUGGCUCUGGGAUAGCCUCCGGAAACGGGGAUUAAUACCGGACAUGACCUGCCUCCGCAUGGGGGCGGGUGGAAAGUUUUUCGGCCAGGGAGGGGCUCGCGGCCUAUCAGCUUGUUGGGGGGGUAACGGCCCACCAAGGCGACGACGGGUAGCC